Long non-coding RNA from Oncorhynchus tshawytscha (Chinook salmon), 361 nucleotides. NCBI's taxonomy places the organism in Eukaryota, Metazoa, Chordata, Actinopteri, Salmoniformes, Salmonidae. The record is from Ensembl.
UUAAUAAAUAAUUAUAAAUGUGUGUGUGUGUGUGUGUGUGCGCGUGUGUGUACCAGUGUUGUGUUCAAGUCCACCUAAAGCGAGACCAAUUCACGACCAAGACAGGUGCAAAUCAAGUCCGAGUCAAGAACAAGGCCAGACAGGGGGCGAGACUGAGUAAAGAACAAGACUAGCCAGGGGUCGAGACCGAGUCAAGAACAAGACCAGACAGGGGGCGAGACCGAGUCAAGAACAAGACCAGACAGGGGGCGAGACCGAGUCAAGAACAAGACCAGCCAGGGGUCGAGACCGAGUCAAGAACAAGACCAGACAGAUGGCGAGACCGAGUCAAGAACAAGACCAGACAGGGGGCGAGACCGAG